This is a long non-coding RNA of Cyprinus carpio carpio, 1346 nucleotides long. Lineage: Eukaryota; Metazoa; Chordata; Actinopteri; Cypriniformes; Cyprinidae. The record is from Ensembl.
UAGGGGAAAUAAUAUAAAACCAUAUCAUUUGAUUUUACUGAAAAUUGAAUGUAGCCCAGGUAAUGUCAGCCAAAUUUUAGAGCAAAUUAUUAUAUUUUGAUGAAAGAUAUAUCUGAAUGUGAGUUAUAAUAGAUAUUUGACUAUUUAAUUUAUUUUAGAAUUAAUGCAAGAGUAGUAUGCAGUUCUGAACUCUCCAUUUCUGUCAUCUUUGAUUCAUUUUUUCUGUUGUGUGGCCGCCGUUUGCUCUGUUAUGGAGGCGUGUGACCUUUCCCGCUCAACAAGAUUGAUAUUUUAUGCUGUGUGCUUGAAGGAUGCUGGGAAAAUGAAAUAUCCUCAAGUGAUCCAACACCUGUCAAAAUCUGUCCACUCCAUAUUCAUGAGCUCAGAAGAGGAUCUGUUAAAUAUACAUGCAGAUAUUAGUAUCUCUGAAAUCUCAUUUGAAUCUCGACAUGCUGAAGAAAAAAAAAAUGUUUUUUUUUUUGUUUAGAUUCUUAACCCUGCUGUCAAUAAGUUCUCAUUAACUAGUGGGUAAUGAACCUCUGUUCUUCUUCUCCAGUCGCUUUAUCUUCAGUGUGUUUGAAACGGCUGAAUAGUUGAGGUUUGCAAACGGGCUGUUUGCAUUGUCUCUACAUACAACAGUUAAUUGUUUGUGUGCUGCCUGGAGAUGAGACGAGACGAGACGACCUGUGUUUUUGUGAGCUGCCAAUUGUAGAUUUUGUUUCUUUUUUUUAUAGCUCUGAAGACUUCAUGCCUUUAUCUCAUUUAAACAUCAACACUGUCUCAGAUGUUUCUCCUAAAAUUCUACAGGGGAAAUAAAAACAGACCCGAAUGAGUAGAGCAGCUAUUGUAGAUAUUUGUCUAUGUUAUGUUAUGUUAUGUUAUGUUAUGUUAUGUUAUGUUAUGUUAUGUUAUAUGUUAUAUGUUAUAUGUUAUAUGUUAUAUGUUAUGUUCUGUUAUGUUCUGUUAUGUUCUAUGUUCUAUGUUAUGUUAUGUUAUGUUAUGUGUUAUAUAUGUUCUAUGUUAUGUUAUGGGUUAUGUUAUGUUAUAUGUUAUCUUAUGUUAUGUUAUUGUGUGUUAUGUUAUGGUAUUUUAUGUUAUGUUAUAUGUUCUAUGUUAUGUUAUGGGUUAUGUUAUGUUAUAUGUUCUAUGUUAUGUUAUGGGUUAUGUUAUGUUAUAUGUUAUAUGUUGUUAUGUUAUGUUAUGUUAUGUUAUGUUGUUAUGUUUUAUGUUAUGUUAUAUGUUAUGUUAUGUUAUGUUUGGAAAAUAAUAUAAAGCAAUAUAAUUUUAUUCAAUUUUAUGCAGCCCAGGAGACGUCAGCCUACUUGUUGAGCAAGAGAAGCGAGUGA